GGCUGCUGCGUGUCUGGUAGAAGGACUGCCCCUCUCUGUCGUCAUGUCCACAUCCCAUCAACCCCGGGUAGGCACUGCCUACCAGGAUGCCCAAAAGCCCCCUGAAGGGGAGAGUAAGGGGCCUGGAUAUGCAGAUAUUCCUGAGGAGAAAGGAAAGCUCCCUUUACCUGAACUUGGAUGAAGCAAGUUAUUGCUAGUCUGAAGUUUCUUCAGAGUCAGGCAGGAAUAAUAAUAAUUAAAAGACCCAAUCUGAUCCCCAAGUCUUCCAACCACCACUACCACCACUCCACUUAAAUAUUAUUUAAAUAUUAAAUAAUUACGUGUACACACAGGUCAGGCUGUACUAAACUCUUCUAUACAUCUUGAUGUCACGGCUUCUCAGCGGAGAAGGAUGUUAAGCAAGGUUAAUGACACCCGGUGCCAGGCACUGAUGACAUGCAGCUGACAAGGCGAGAUGCCCUCACGUUGCCCACAGUGCAGGGGACUGGUGGGGACAGAAAGAUGUAUGUACCGGAUCCCAUUCAAAGGACCGAUUGAAUGGGAGUCUGCCUGGGUGGCCUCCCAAGGCUUCUUCCAUUCUAUCAUCGGGUAAUUAUUAUUAUUUGUCAAAAACUACCCUGCUUUGUCACAAUUCUCAUUUCAGUUUAGCCAUAAACAUUCAACGUGGAUAGUUCGAUGCGGGAGUUUUCCUCUAUUUCCUGAGGGGUAAUAUUCGGUGUUAAUUACAGUUUCAAAGACCCAGAGUAAAUGAUGCGGGAAGGAGCCUCUGAGAGACCCUUCUCCCCACCUCUGUUGGUAGAUUCUGGCGGGAGCGCGCAGGGCCGGUUCCAUCGGUGGCGGUGCGGCCACGGGGUCCGGCCCUAAUCACGCCCUUGCCAACAGGAUGGCCUCCUUCAGUGCAAUUUCCACUCCAGUGCUGUAUCCAUUUUCUUUCUCCUCUUCAGAGAAACAGCCGGCCCUUCCUACUUCCCCGCCUCCUCCCCAGGCCCCUUCAAUAAUUGAGGCUAAGCCGGAGCCCGGCACCCUUGGGCAGCCCUUGAUUAAGACGCCAUCGAGUGGCCGCCUUCCAUGUCAGCGUCCUGGUCUCCGAGGCUGGUUAAGAUGGAGCCCAACGGCUCUCCUGGAGAAGAGUGACCCACCAUCCCGACCGUGAGAGAGAGGAAUUUUCGCGAAGCGGAAGGCAGAUGCUUCUGAGGAGAGGAUCUGGCGUUCCAAAAGACUUACACCUUAAGCAGAACAUUCUAACUGGGUGACUGUGGACCCAACUAAGUCAAUAACUCAACAGACCGCAUCUUAAGAAAAGGCAGAGAACUUCCUUAAAACAUGGCUUUUCUACAUUCUUUUCAUUCUAGAGACUCAGAGAAGGAAACUGCGUUUCAGAAGCAUUAACUGGAUGGAAAUGGCACAGAUGGAGUUGGGAGCCAGUGCGACUCCAGAGCUGAGCUCCUGUGAGUGUCUGUGAAGCAGGUCACUGAUGUUCCCAGUGAUUGGGACAUACUGAAGCUCACCACAAGCUUAUUGUUGUGAUAAGUCCUUCUGCCACAUGGCAUCCGGAGCUGAGCACCUGGCAGCGCUUCUGUGGGGGGAGAAGAAUUAGCAAGAGGAGGCUGUGGAUCUUCAGGUUUGGAAUCCGAUCCGAGAUGAAAACAAGGAGCAUCAAAAAUGCCCUGGUGUAUCGCUGGCUUUAAAAGAAUGUGCAUUCUUCCCCAUUCCUUCUACGACAUCACGGUAAUGGGUCCAACAUGAUGGCAGAUGUCCAUCCAUAGCCAAGAUAUGGAAACAACCUAAGUGCCCAUGGACAGAGGAGUGGAUAAAGAAGAUGUGGUAUGUAUACACAAUGGAAUAUUACUCAGCCAUUCAAAGGAAAGAAAUAAUGGCAUUUGCAGCAACAUGGACGGAGGGAUCCAUUUAUUUGUCGAUGGACUCUUGGGUUGCUUCUACCUUUUGUCUCUUGGGAAUAAUGCUGCUGUGAAUACGGGAGUACAAAUAUAUCUUCCAGACUCUGCUUUCAGUUCUUGUGGAUAAAUACCCAGAAGUGGAACUGCUGGAUCAAAUGGUAAUUCUAUGUUUAAUUUUUUGAGAAACUGCCAUACUGUUUUUCAUUGUGGCUGUACUGCUACAUUCUCACCAAUUGUGCACAAAGGUUCCAAUUUAUCCACUCCUCACCAAAACUUGUUAUUUUCUUUCUUUAAAAAUAUGUUUUACAGUAGCCAUCAUUUGGGUAUGGGUGGUAUCUUCUUGCAGUUGUUUUUUGUUUUUUUUGUUUUAUGUUUUUUUUUUUUUGCUUUUUAGGGCCACACUUGUGGCAUAUGGAGCGUCCCAGGCUAGGGGUCCGGUCAGAGCUAAAGCUGCUGGUCUACACCACAGCCACAGCAACGCAGGAUCUGAGCCGCAUCUGUGACCUACAUCGCAGCUCAUGGUAAUGCCAGAUCCUUAACCCACUGAGCAAGGCCAGGGAUCGAACUUGCAACUUCAUGGUUCCUAGUCGGAUUCGUUUCCACUGCACCAUGAAGGGCACUCCUCUUGCAGUUUUGAUUUGCAUUCCCUAAUGAUUAGUGAUGUGGAGAAUCUUUUCAUGUGCUUAUUGACCAUUUGUAUAUUUGGUCUAUUUGAAAAUAUCUAUUCAAGUUCUUUGCCCAUUUCCUUCCUUCCUUCCUUCCCUUCUUCCUUCCUUCCCUUCUUUCUUCCUUCCUUCCUUCCCUUCUUUCUUUCUUCCCUUCUUUCUUUCUUUCUUUCUUUCUUUCUUUCUUUCUUUCUUUCUUUCUUUCUUUCUUUCUCUCUCUCUCUUUCUUUCUCUCUCUCUCUCUCUCUCUCUCUCUUUCUUUCUUUUGUCUUUUUAGAGCUGCACCUGCACCACAUGGAAGUUCCCAGGCUACAGGUUGUAUCGGGGCUGUACCUGCCUGCCUACGCCACAGCUCACGACAAUGCUGGAUCCUUAACCCACUGAGUGAGGCCAGGGAUGGAACCCACAUCCUCACGGAUACUAGGCAGGUUCGUUACUGCUGAGCCACAACGGGAACUCCCUCUUUGCCCAUUUUUCAUAAGAUUUUUGUUUUGUUCAGUUGUAGGAGUUCUCCAUAUAUUCUGGAUAUUAAUCAGAUGGAAGAUUUACUUUUUUCUAUUCUGUGGGUUGCCUUUUCAUUCUCUUGAUUGUACCCUUUAAUGCACAGAAAUUUUAAAUCUUGAAAUAGCCCAAUUUGUCUAUUUUUCUUCUGUUGCCUGUGUUUUUGGUGUCAUAGCUAAGAAAUCAUUGCCAAAUCCAAUGUCCUGAACCUCUUCCUCAGUGUUUUCUUCUAAGAAUUUUACGUUUUAGCUCUUAUUGUUUAGGUCUUUGAUCAAUUUUGAGUUAAUGUUUCAAUAUGUGGCUUAGUAAGAGUCUAAAUUCCUUUUUUCCCCCCUUUGGCCACACCUGUGGCAGAUGGAAGUUCCCAGGCCUGGGAUCAGCUCCUUGGUGGAGCUGCCAUUGCCAUCUGGCCUUCGGGGAAGCCUCUAUGUUCCUGCUCCAUUGGUAAGGGAGAAAGGACCAUGGCUAAUUUAAAAUCCAGCUCUGGUUGGCCUCAAGCUUUUCUUUUUAAAAUUUUUUUAUUUUUAAUUUUUUGGGUCUUUUGUCUUUUUAGGGUUAAUACACUGAUAUAAAUUGCAAACGUAGUUAAUUUUUUAACGUUUGAAAAAAAAAAAGAAAAUACCAUACAGAUGAUACACGUAACUCAACUUAGUAUGGCAAAAGACUUUCUGAUUAUAAGUACGACGAAAUAUAUUAAAAGAGAAAUGAUAGAUUUGAUUUUAUAAAUUGUGCGCAAAAACCCUUUAAAAGGAAACAAUAAGUUUAUCAUGGAAUGUUCAUCUUUUUUAAAUUUCUUUUUUCAAAUGAUUUUUAUUUUUUCUAUUAAAGUUGGUUUACAGUGGUCUG
RNAcentral lists this long non-coding RNA (3910 nucleotides) under Sus scrofa (pig). RNAcentral's name for it is "lncRNA (ENSSSCG00060068056.1)". Lineage: Eukaryota; Metazoa; Chordata; Mammalia; Artiodactyla; Suidae. The record is from RNAcentral.